GUCCACGCCCUAAACGAUGUCAACUAGGUGUUUGGUGGGUAAACCAUUUAGUACCGGAGCUAACGCGUGAAGUUGACCGCCUGUGGAGUACGGCCGCAAGGUUAAAACUCAAAGGAAUUGACGGGGACCCGCACAAGCGGUGGAUGAUGUGGAUUAAUUCGAUGCAACGCGAAAAACCUUACCUACCCUUGACAUGUCCAGAGGCCUGAAGAUAUUUGGGUGUGCCCGAAAGGGAACUGGAACACAGGUGCUGCAUUGCUGUCGU
RNAcentral lists this ribosomal RNA (265 nucleotides) under uncultured bacterium. RNAcentral's name for it is "partial 16S ribosomal RNA". It matches the Rfam family "Bacterial small subunit ribosomal RNA", at positions 793 to 1055 of the family's 1533-position model. The record is from RNAcentral.